This 256-nucleotide ribosomal RNA is filed under the name uncultured Roseinatronobacter sp. RNAcentral describes it as "partial 16S ribosomal RNA". It matches the Rfam family "Bacterial small subunit ribosomal RNA", at positions 642 to 898 of the family's 1533-position model. The record is from RNAcentral. Lineage: Bacteria; Pseudomonadati; Pseudomonadota; Alphaproteobacteria; Rhodobacterales; Paracoccaceae.
UGGAGUUCGAGAGAGGUGAGUGGAAUUGCGAGUGUAGAGGUGAAAUUCGUAGAUAUUCGCAGGAACACCAGUGGCGAAGGCGGCUCACUGGCUCGAUACUGACGCUGAGGUGCGAAAGUGUGGGGAGCAAACAGGAUUAGAUACCCUGGUAGUCCACACCGUAAACGAUGAAUGCCAGACGUCGGCAAGCAUGCUUGUCGGUGUCACACCUAACGGAUUAAGCAUUCCGCCUGGGGAGUACGGCCGCAAGGUUAAA